Molecule: long non-coding RNA, 2403 nt
Organism: Tachysurus fulvidraco (yellow catfish)
Lineage: Eukaryota; Metazoa; Chordata; Actinopteri; Siluriformes; Bagridae
Exons: 2
Source: RefSeq, a predicted model, not a curated record
UUCAUCCAUUUUAAGCAACCAUGCAGUAUACAAGCACGCUGCCAACACGUUUUUUGCUAGAUGGCCUUCUCAUUUUGCCUUUGUUUCUGGCCCUGUGCUAUGACAUUUCUACCUGCUCUACAAUGGGCAGUCUGUUAUAACAAACUGUGCCUCCCCUGUUUUAAGACUCUUAAUUUGAAAUAUGGUCUGUGACUUGUAUUUGGGUCCUCGUCUGCUAUUCCUCACAGUAUACCAUAUAUAUCUAUACACUAGAUGUCGCCUUGAGGUCCUAGAAAUGCGGUUUCUUUAUACGGUGCUCUUGUACUUUAAAUGCAUGGACGAUGCCGGACUUCUGUGCUGCGUUUGGUUGUUCAUACGAAAGAAAUCUAAAAACCAGACAGCAAGGGAUUACAAUACACAAUGAUGCCUCGAGAUACGAGUGCUUUGAGAUACGAGCUGUGAUUCGACCAAAUUUUUGUCUUCAUAUACAAGCAGAUUUUUGAGAUCCGAGCUGCCGCCGAAACAAAGAUCACCAACAACCACGUGUCCUCUGUUUCCCGCGUCUCACUCGGUUAAAGCCGCCUUUCCAUUGCACAUGACAAACGACUGUCGAUAAAACGGAAGUCAUUCAUUUCCUAUGGAGAGUCGCAAAGGCGUUGUGUGAGGUGCCGACCAUCUGCGGAUCCGUUAAAAAAAUUUAACUUGUGCGACUACACCGCAUCUGAUAUGCCGACCGGAAAGGUUUUUAUUAAAACGACCGGCAGAUAUUAGUGAGGAAAGAGUGAAAAAGUUUUGUGAAAAAUUUCAACUUUUCUGUAUGGUUAAUAUGUAUAAAGUAAUGUGAAGAAGAGUACCAAUUGUUUUGAGAAUGGGAAUUUGUUUCCCAGUACUUAGACAGCUCUCCAUAGAAGGUACUGAUUUUUGUUAUAAAAAAAAUUGCAAACAGAGUUGUAAAAAAUCUUCUUUCACAUGUAUUUUACCCAAAUACUAUUAAAAGAGGAUAUGUGUUGAAAGAUUUUGAGACGUUAGAAGUUAAAAUUAGGACCAUGCAUCUAUUUUCUCCUCUUCCUCCGACGGCUAAGGAAGUUAACUUUAAAAUUUUAAAUGAGAUUUAUCCCACAAAUGAGUUUUUAAGAUUAAAAUUCAAUUUUGAACUGAAUAAUUGUGUAUUUUGUGAAACUAAUAUUGAAAGUUUAGACCAUACUUUCUCUCUUUGGGAAUUGGUGCAAACCUUUUCAAGAGAUGUAUGGAACUGGUUACAAUCUACAGAGAUUAUACUUCCACCCCUUACAGUGCAGCUAAUCAAGUUUUUUUUUUUUUUGAAGAACAAAUAUUUAAAUUUUGUUAUUAACUCUUUGAUUUGUAUGGCAAAGAUUUUCAUCCAUAAAUGUAGGUGGUUUAAAUCAAAGCACAACUUCAAUCAGUGGUUAAAUAAGUUAAAAUAAAUGUAAAAAUCCCUUAUUUGAUUUCACACUUUGAGUAAUACAAGUUAAUUUGAAUAAGCCUCCCUUUGUUACUUUUUUCUUUAUUUUUUUCUCGAUUUGUCUUUAAUUAUUGGUAUGCCCAACCAAAGAUGUACAUUUGUUUAUAUUUUGAAAUAAGACUGUAUGCCUAUAUUGUUUGCACAUUUGAUACAGGAUAUAAAACUAAAAAAACACUCUAACAUAGUGUAUCGCAAAGUUGAUCUCCAUUUGACUUCUCCAGGCUGCUGCAGCUCUGGAACAGACGUCUCAAAAUAGACAGAUAGCCUUUCAGUCACUUUACUGAGGUUUGCGAAAACAUUAUUAUUGUUGCUCAUUGUUAAGGCCACAAACUCACUUAACCUGUCUAAAAUUACAUGGCUUUUCAGAGGUGAUCAGUAGACAAGGAACGGUUUUCGGACUGUUGUGCAGUCAUAAUGUCCUCAACAACUUCACCAAUCACAUCCAUCAUAAACAUAAACAGAGUCGAAUUUCACAUGUGUUCUCUCCUGUUUGCUGACCGCGAGGCGCUUGUGGAUGACGUAGCUUCCACAUACAGCGCCCCAUAAUAUAAUUCCACCCCAACAUUGAUUGACACGUUUACGUGCAUCGUUUGAAACGCAAAUGCAAAGGGAUUUGAGAUUAUAGUUGAGUUUCUGCAGGAUCCGUAUGUGACCCCAGAGGAUGUGAAAUAGCAAAGGGGGGGGGGGGGGGGAUUUGUGAUUAAAAUAUGGCAGGGUCAUAACUCGAAAUACAUAGGAGAUUCAGCUGCAGAUGGACUUUGCUUUUCCAUUUUAAAUUUGGCAUAGAUUGUGCGUUCGCGUAAAUGCAAACGGUUUGCGUUUGAAAUUAUUUCACGUUACUUGUUUCAACGAAAAGCUGAAAACGCAAUUGCUCCACAGCUGUCUGUUUGCUCACUUACAUAUUGGGUGAUCUGUCACCAAAGAUGCCUUGUUCUAACUCA